This is a non-coding RNA of Chiloscyllium plagiosum (whitespotted bambooshark), 1385 nucleotides long. The record is from RefSeq and is a predicted model, not a curated record. Lineage: Eukaryota; Metazoa; Chordata; Chondrichthyes; Orectolobiformes; Hemiscylliidae.
AAAUCCUAGCUAUCACAGAGCUGCAGUCAGACACUCCAGGUCUGCACAACAGAGCACCAUAUAUGGCAAUGAUCUGACGUAAUGGGCCAUUGGCUAGAGGAUGCAAAGAGCACAUCUCUCAUUGUUUGGUGUUACUGUCGGAAUGUUCACAUCGCUGAUCAGUGGAAGGCUGCAUCGCACCAUCAUAUUGCCUAGUGCUCUCAUUCCCACAAACAAGCUAUGGAACUUCACAAACUGCAGGCUUCAGGUUUUAUUUGCUGAAAAGUGUCUGGUUGUGAACUUCAAUAGGCAAUCAGUGACUGAAGUAACAAAGCUUUUGAAUUCCAAUAUUUAAAACACAACUUUUUUUGAACAAGAGCACUAAAAAUAUAUCCAGCACUGCCAAAGUUGCUCAUCAUUCUCAGUAGCUGUUACAACAAGUGCUACUUCUUCAACAUCGUCUUUUUGCUAAUAUCAGUUCUUGCUGAAGAACAGUACAGAUAAAUCCUCUAGUUUUAAUCUAUUUGAUGUUUCAGAGCAUUCAUCAAGGAAAUGCUUGAUGGUUUAAUGUGGCAUUUAUCCAUCUACCAUUGAAGUUAUCAAUACAAACUUGCAGAAAUGGAUGCAGUUACUUAUAUCAAGUAUAUUGCGCUGAGGCUCUAUUUAGACUUUUUCAUCGACUAGGCUAGUUUAUGAACUACGAAUUUAAAAGCACUAAAAAUUUGCACAAAUUUGCAAAGAUUGCAUUUAUUUUUAAUUCAAGUUCUUGGAGCAAAUAUGGUCCAUACUGAAUAUAAAUUUAGGAAUCCAAAAAAUAGCUGUCUUUCGAAAUAUUCACUGUCUACAUCUUGCUGCUGAUAAUUUUAACUUUGCCUGCCCAGCAUAGAUGAAAUGGGUAGACAGUUAAACCAUUCAUUGUACAGACCUACCAACAUCACACUGCCUUUUCACAUGUUGAUGAAUAGGCAAGAGGGAUCAAACCUUAUGCCAUUCACCAACCUCAAAAGACAACAGUCUAUAAAUAUGCAGAUUCCUCCAAUAAUAUCACCAUGGCCUAACUGCAACUUUAACGAUGGAAGCCAUUGUAAACUGCCUACCUGAAAAGCAAGCAAGAAGCGAAGUGGAUCCCCUUCUUUAAGAAAAACUUUCCUUGUGGAGCCUGGAUCAGGUGUCACCAGGAAUGUUUAGGCCUCUUUUGGACCCAGAUUCAGCGUCCUUCCUUCAACUAUGAAGCCCUCCCAAUUGAGUGCCAAAGACAAUUCCUUAAAUAGCAGCAAUGGCCUCCUGCUGCUCACCAUUCCAUUGCUAACCUGAGUAUUAUUUUUCAAUGUUGGAACAGUUUGCAAUCAACUUUGGUCCCUGUGCAUUUGAUUCCUGCACCAAGUUAAAACUGAGCAUCUCUUUGA